Molecule: ribosomal RNA, 399 nt
Filed under: uncultured soil bacterium
Lineage: Bacteria
Description: bacterial SSU rRNA
Rfam family: Bacterial small subunit ribosomal RNA
Source: RNAcentral
AGAUUGAAUGCUGGCGGAAUGCUUUACACAUGCAAGUCGAACGGCAGCACGGGGGCAACCCUGGUGGCGAGUGGCGCACGGGUGAGUAAUACAUCGGAACGUGUCCUAGAGUGGGGGAUAGCCCGGCGAAAGCCGGAUUAAUACCGCAUACGCUCGAAAGAGGAAAGUGGGGGAUCGUAAGACCUCACGCCCAAGGAGCGGCCGAUGCCGGAUUAGCUUGUUGGUGAGGUAAAAGCUCACCAAGGCGACGAUCCGUAGCUGGUCUGAGAGGACGACCAGCCACACUGGGACUGAGACACGGCCCAGACUCCUACGGGAGGCAGCAGUGGGAAUUUUGGACAAUGGGGGAAACCCUGAUCCAGCCAUUCCGCGUGAGUGAAGAAGGCCUGGUUGUAAGAC